GUCUUUAUGAUAAAUAAUAUAAAGUCUAAUCUGCCCCCUGAAUUAAAUUUUAAAGGGCCGCAGUAUUUUAACUGUGCAAAGGUAGCAUAAUAACUAGUUUUUUAAUUGAAAACUAGAAUGAAUGAUUGGACGAGAUAUAAUCUGUUUCAGGUUAAUUAAAUAAAAUUUAAUUUUUUAGUUAAAAAGCUGAAAUUUUUAUAAAAGACGAGAAGACCCUAUAGAUCUUUAUAAAUUAUUUAAAUAAAUAAAUUUUCAAGGAUUUAUUUAAUUGAUUUAUUUUAUUGGGGUGAUAUAAAAAUUUACAUAACUUUUUAUUUAAUAUUAACGAAAAUUAUUGAUUUAUAUUAUUUAAUAAUCCUUUAUUUAAGAAUUUAGAUUAAGUUACCUUAGGGAUAACAGCGUAAUUUUAAUCUUAAGUUCAUAUUAAAAUUAAAGAUUGCGACCUCGAUGUUGGAUUAAGAUUUAUUUUAGAAGCAAAAAUUUAAAUAUUGGGUCUGUUCGACCUUUAAGAUUUU
Molecule: ribosomal RNA, 515 nt
Filed under: Limnocentropus insolitus
Lineage: Eukaryota; Metazoa; Arthropoda; Insecta; Trichoptera; Limnocentropodidae
Description: partial 16S ribosomal RNA
Source: RNAcentral